UAAUACGGAGGGUGCGAGCGUUAAUCGGAAUUACUGGGCGUAAAGCGCACGCAGGCGGUUUGUUAAGCUAGAUGUGAAAGCCCCGGGCUCAACCUGGGAUGGUCAUUUAGAACUGGCAGACUAGAGUCUUGGAGAGGGGAGUGGAAUUCCAGGUGUAGCGGUGAAAUGCGUAGAUAUCUGGAGGAACAUCAGUGGCGAAGGCGACUCCCUGGCCAAAGACUGACGCUCAUGUGCGAAAGUGUGGGUAGCGAACAGGAUUAGAUACCCUGGUAGUCCACACCGUAAACGCUGUCUACUAGCUGUGUGUGUCUUUAAGACGUGCGUAGCGAAGCUAACGCGCUAAGUAGACCGCCUGGGGAGUACGGCCGCAAGGUUA
This 376-nucleotide ribosomal RNA is filed under the name uncultured Gammaproteobacteria bacterium. Its description in RNAcentral is "bacterial SSU rRNA". It matches the Rfam family "Bacterial small subunit ribosomal RNA", at positions 521 to 896 of the family's 1533-position model. Lineage: Bacteria; Pseudomonadati; Pseudomonadota; Gammaproteobacteria. The record is from RNAcentral.